GCCCCCUGGACAGUGUACGUGAUAUGAGCCCCAUGAAGAUCCAGCCGCUUUGUUCAGCGUGGCAUCCUCAGUGCCUGCUGUAGUGCCAGACACAUCACAAGCCUUCAAUGCAUUUAUUGAAAUAAUGAGAAAAGGAAAUGCAGGAAGAGGGAUCCAUUUCUUCCAGAUUCUGUUAUCUGACCUUAACCUUGGAAAAUCCUCUAGUGCCAUCCUGGCAGUUAAGGCCCUUGAGCAGCCGUCACUGCCACAGGCUACGGAGGUAAAGGAAGCAGCAAAACAAAUCUUGAAAAAGGCAGCUUGCUCCUGAUGGAGCUGCAUGAGUUACAAGGUUUUUAACUGCAAGAAUUGUUGGAGCCACUUCUGGUAAUAUAUGAAUUUCAUAAAAAUGUUUUCCAAGGUGCACAGAAACAUCUGAGGACUUUAAUUAAGCCCUCCACCAUCGGGAAUGGAACUUUUAUGUACAUGGACUUUGGAUUUUCUUUUUCUCUUUUUGAGCACUGCUGGCAAGGAAGCAAGUACCAAGCGAGGAUUCCAAUUGAGUUCUUUGACACGGAACCUUUCUUUUCCUUUUUUGGAAAAUGGAAGUAAUGUACUAGUACAGGCAGUCUGUUUGGGAAUAUGAGCGUUUAUAUUAAUGGCAUUAAACUCAGUAUUUAUACCACAAGGCACCUCCUUCCCUAUGGUUUGUGAUAAGACAUGUGCAAGUUGCACUGACUUGCUUUCCUCUUUCCCAUCCCAGACUCCCCGUGUAAGAAGCGGGUGCUGCUCCAAGACAAUGAGUCUUCUUUGUAUGCACUAAUUACAGAGGAGCUUUUGAAAAUGUGGAAUCCCAGGCCCUGCCCCCAGAGAGGGACCCUGGAGUUUACAUUUUUAACAAGUGAUUCUGCUUGCAGGAGGGCAUGGAUCCCACUUCAAGAACCACUGGAAUGGGG
Molecule: long non-coding RNA, 932 nt
Filed under: Homo sapiens (human)
Lineage: Eukaryota; Metazoa; Chordata; Mammalia; Primates; Hominidae
Description: HSALNT0168798
Source: RNAcentral